GACGAACGCUGGCGGCGUGCUUAACACAUGCAAGUCGAACGGUAAGGCCCUUCGGGGUACACGAGUGGCGAACGGGUGAGUAACACGUGGGUGAUCUGCCCUGCACUUCGGGAUAAGCCUGGGAAACUGGGUCUAAUACCGGAUAGGACUCCGGACUGCAUGGUCUGGGGUGGAAAGCUUUUGCGGUGUGGGAUGGGCCCGCGGCCUAUCAGCUUGUUGGUGGGGUGAUGGCCUACCAAGGCGACGACGGGUAGCCGGCCUGAGAGGGUGACCGGCCACACUGGGACUGAGAUACGGCCCAGACUCCUACGGGAGGCAGCAGUGGGGAAUAUUGCACAAUGGGCACAAGCCUGAUGCAGCAACGCUGCGUGAAGGAUGACGGCCUUCGGGUUGUAAACCUCUUUCAGCAUCGACGAAGCGAAAGUGACGGUAGGUGCAGAAGAAGGACCGGCCAACUACGUGCCAGCAGCCGCCGUAA
RNAcentral lists this ribosomal RNA (478 nucleotides) under uncultured bacterium. Its description in RNAcentral is "partial 16S ribosomal RNA". It matches the Rfam family "Bacterial small subunit ribosomal RNA", at positions 28 to 523 of the family's 1533-position model. The record is from RNAcentral.